CUCGGAUGAGGAGGGUGUGUGAUUCUCUGGAAGAAACUAAGGCGAACAGUAAAAGGCUGAUGAACUCUGAAGUCUUUGUCAUCUCCAGCUACUUGAAGGAGAAUCAGAAAGAUGUUACCAGGACUGAAUCCUACCCAGACGUGAUGUGGAGGCUGAUGGGCAGGAGACCACCACCUGGAGUCAAAAGGCUUCAUCCUCAACUCUAAAUUUAGGGAAUAUGUGGUUAAGAGAUGAUCACUGAUGGUUAGGGGAACAAGAGGAAAAUUCAAGAUUUCCUCACCGGACUGGGUAGAAAUAAACAAGCCUUAAAGUGAUUCAAAAGAACAUGCCAACUUUUAAAAGAUAAACCUAGUUAAUUUUAUGUACUUCUCAACGAUAAUUUAAUAAAUGAUUGCCUG
Molecule: long non-coding RNA, 398 nt
Organism: Hypanus sabinus (Atlantic stingray)
Lineage: Eukaryota; Metazoa; Chordata; Chondrichthyes; Myliobatiformes; Dasyatidae
Exons: 3
Source: RefSeq, a predicted model, not a curated record